UACAGAGGGUGCAAGCGUUAAUCGGAAUUAUUGGGCGUAAAGCGCACGUAGGUGGAUAUUUAAGUCGGAUGUGAAAGCCCCGGGCUCAACCUGGGAAUCGCAUUCGAUACUGAAUGCCUAGAGUAUGGUAGAGGGAGGUAGAACUUCCGGUGUAGCGGUGAAAUGCGUAGAUAUCGGAAAGAAUACCAGUGGCGAAGGCGGCCUCCUGGACUAAUACUGACACUGAGGUGCGAAAGCGUGGGGAGCAAACAGG
This 253-nucleotide ribosomal RNA is filed under the name uncultured bacterium. RNAcentral describes it as "partial 16S ribosomal RNA". It matches the Rfam family "Bacterial small subunit ribosomal RNA", at positions 524 to 776 of the family's 1533-position model. The record is from RNAcentral.